Molecule: non-coding RNA, 495 nt
Filed under: uncultured Archaeospora
Lineage: Eukaryota; Fungi; Glomeromycota; Glomeromycetes; Archaeosporales; Archaeosporaceae
Also listed under: 1 other name
Description: SSU rRNA
Rfam family: Eukaryotic small subunit ribosomal RNA
Source: RNAcentral
CCAAUAGCGUAUAUUAAAGUUGUUGCAGUUAAAAAGCUCGUAGUUGAAUUUUAGGCCUGGCCGGAUGGUCCGUCUUUGGCGAGUACUGUUCUGUCGUCGGGUCUAUCCUUCUGGUGAGCCGGUAUGCCCUUUAUUGGGUGUGUCGGGGAACCAGGACCAUUACCUUGAAAAAAUUAGAGUGUUUAAAGCGGGCAUUUGCUUGAAUAGAUUAGCAUGGAAUAAUAGAAUAGGACGUUGGUUCUAUUUUGUUGGUUUUAGGACCACCGUAAUGAUUAAUAGGGAUAGUUGGGGGCAUUAGUAUUCAAUUGUCAGAGGUGAAAUUCUUGGAUUUAUUGAAGACUAACUAUUGCGAAAGCAUUUGCCAAGGAUGUUUUCAUUAAUCAAGAACGAAAGUUAGGGGAUCGAAGACGAUCAGAUACCGUCGUAGUCUUAACCAUAAACUAUGCCGACUAGGAAUCGGGCGACGUUAUUUCAUGACUCGCUCGGCGCCUUAUG